GUUGUAUAGUCAAGUAAUUAAGUGCAUGUGGUGGAUGCCUUGGCAGUCAGAGGCGAUGAAAGACGUAAUAGCCUGCGAUAAGCUCCGGGGAGGCGGCAAAUAUCCUGUGAUCCGGAGAUUUCUGAAUGGGGAAACCCACCUGUCAUAAGGCAGGUAUCGUAUGAUGAAUACAUAGUCAUACGAGGCGAACGAGGGGAAGUGAAACAUCUCAGUACCCUUAGGAAAAGAAAUCAAUUGAGAUUCCCUCAGUAGCGGCGAGCGAACGGGGAAAAGCCCAUUAAGUCAUAUCAGUUUUAGUGGAAUGCUCUGGGAAGUGCAACCAUAGUGGGUGAUAGUCCUGUACACGAAAGGGCUGAUAUGAUGAUGUCGAGUAGGGCGGGGCACGUGAAACCUUGUCUGAAUAUGGGG
RNAcentral lists this ribosomal RNA (408 nucleotides) under Salmonella enterica. RNAcentral's name for it is "partial 23S ribosomal RNA". It matches the Rfam family "Bacterial large subunit ribosomal RNA", at positions 1 to 449 of the family's 2925-position model. Lineage: Bacteria; Pseudomonadati; Pseudomonadota; Gammaproteobacteria; Enterobacterales; Enterobacteriaceae. The record is from RNAcentral.